GUGUCAGCAGCCGCGGUAAUACGUAGGGGGCGAGCGUUGUCCGGAUUUACUGGGCGUAAAGCGCGUGUAGGCGGCCGGAUAAGUCGGGUGUGAAAGCCCGGGGCUCAACCCCGGGAUGCCGCCCGAGACUGCUCGGCUUGAGGACGGAAGAGGGGCGUGGAAUUCCUGGUGUAGCGGUGAAAUGCGUAGAGAUCAGGAGGAACACCCGUGGCGAAGGCGGCGCCCUGGUCCGUUACUGACGCUGAGACGCGAAAGCGCGGGGAGCGAACGGGAUUAGAAACCCUUGUAGUCC
RNAcentral lists this ribosomal RNA (292 nucleotides) under uncultured bacterium. RNAcentral's name for it is "partial 16S ribosomal RNA". It matches the Rfam family "Bacterial small subunit ribosomal RNA", at positions 505 to 796 of the family's 1533-position model. The record is from RNAcentral.